This 433-nucleotide ribosomal RNA is filed under the name uncultured bacterium. RNAcentral describes it as "partial 16S ribosomal RNA". It matches the Rfam family "Bacterial small subunit ribosomal RNA", at positions 29 to 507 of the family's 1533-position model. The record is from RNAcentral.
AGCGAACGCUGGCGGCAGGCUUAACACAUGCAAGUCGAGCGGGCCCUUCGGGGUCAGCGGCGGACGGGUGAGUAACGCGUGGGAACGUGCCUUCUGGUCUGGAAUAACCCUGGGAAACUAGGGCUAAUACUGGAUACGCCCUUUUGGGGAAAGGUUUACUGCCGGAAGAUCGGCCCGCGUCUGAUUAGCUAGUUGGUGGGGUAACGGCCUACCAAGGCGACGAUCAGUAGCUGGUCUGAGAGGAUGAUCAGCCACACUGGGACUGAGACACGGCCCAGACUCCUACGGGAGGUAGCAGUGGGGAAUAUUGGACAAUGGGCGCAAGCCUGAUCCAGCCAUGCCGCGUGAGUGAUGAAGGCCUUAGGGUUGUAAAGCUCUUUUAUCCGGGACGAUAAUGACGGUACCGGAGGAAUAAGCCCCGGCUAACUUCGUG